This 403-nucleotide ribosomal RNA is filed under the name uncultured bacterium. Its description in RNAcentral is "partial 16S ribosomal RNA". It matches the Rfam family "Bacterial small subunit ribosomal RNA", at positions 28 to 526 of the family's 1533-position model. The record is from RNAcentral.
GACGAACGCUGGCGGCGUGCCUAAUACAUGCAAGUCGAACGCAGUGGGGACGGGUGAGUAACACGUGGGUAACCUCCCAUCAGAGGGGAUAACACUUGGAAACAGGUGCUAAACCGAUAUUGAUGGAUGGACCCGCGGUGCAUUAGCUAGUUGGUGAGGUAACGGCUCACCAAGGCCACGAUGCAUAGCCGUCCUCAGAGGGUGUCGGCGCAAACGUGGAAUGAGACUAGGCCACAGCGCCUACGGUAGUGGGUAGUAGGGAAGCUUGGGCAAUGGACGAAAAUCUGACCGAGCACCGCCGCGUGAGUUAAGAAGGUUUUAGGAUCUUAAAACUCUGUUGUUAGAGAAGCGGUAUAUAUCCAGACUGCCAUGGCUAACUACGUGCUAGCAGCCGCGGUAAUUC